GAUCUGUCUGGGUUUUUACUUUCUGGGUUUUCAAUCAAUCUCUCAAGUGUUCAAAUAGCCUCGAACUCUUGAUUGCUCUCUUCAUCAAGCAGCAAAGCAGAAAUUGAUGAAAGAUCUGGAAUUGCAAGCAGCCUCAUUGCCUCCUCAAUAUCAAUCCAUGUCUCUAGCAGCCACAGUCGCAGCUCAGAUGAACCAAAGCAGGUAGCCGCGUACUCAGCAGCAGAUCA
Molecule: long non-coding RNA, 227 nt
Filed under: Rosa chinensis
Lineage: Eukaryota; Viridiplantae; Streptophyta; Magnoliopsida; Rosales; Rosaceae
Description: sRNA RchiOBHm_Chr2g0156221
Source: RNAcentral